UGGAUCGAGGCUAAUACCCUAGCCCCUGGACGGUCCCUGCCAAGGACCCACCGGCUACCUCCGGGCCUACCGCCGUUCUGUACGCAGGGUGCAAGCGUUGUUCGGAAUUACUGGGCGUAAAGGGGGCGUAUGCCGCUUUUUAACUCAGAUGUGAAAUUCCACGGUUCAACCGUGGAAUUGCAUUUGAAACUGGGAAGCUCGAGUUCUGGAGGGGAUGGUGGAAUUCCCGGUGAAGAGGUGAAAUUCCUAAAUAUCGUGAGGAAUACCGGUGGCAAACGCAACCAUCUGGCCGUAUGGAGACACUAAGAUUCGAAACCGUGGGGAGCCACCCGGAUUAGAUUCCCUGGUAGUCCUCGCCGAAAACGAUGUCCGCUAGCUCUUGGAAUGGUUAAUCGCUUCAUUGCGGGAGCUAACGCCUUAAGUUGACCACCUGGGGAGUACGGUCGCAACAUU
Molecule: ribosomal RNA, 453 nt
Filed under: uncultured bacterium
Lineage: Bacteria
Description: bacterial SSU rRNA
Rfam family: Bacterial small subunit ribosomal RNA
Source: RNAcentral